GUUUCAGGGCGUGGUGAAAGUCCACACCGGUGGUGAACGCUGACAGGCGCAAGUCCACGAGCCGUAAGGCCGAACUGGUGAGAUUCCAGUACCGACGGUAUAGUCCGGAUGAAAGAAA
This 118-nucleotide non-coding RNA is filed under the name bovine gut metagenome. RNAcentral describes it as "FMN riboswitch (RFN element)". It matches the Rfam family "FMN riboswitch aptamer (RFN element)". From Rfam's summary of the family: The RFN element is a highly conserved domain that is found frequently in the 5'-untranslated regions of prokaryotic mRNAs that encode for flavin mononucleotide (FMN) biosynthesis and transport proteins. The record is from RNAcentral.